Molecule: long non-coding RNA, 1214 nt
Organism: Salvia miltiorrhiza (redroot sage)
Lineage: Eukaryota; Viridiplantae; Streptophyta; Magnoliopsida; Lamiales; Lamiaceae
Exons: 2
Source: RefSeq, a predicted model, not a curated record
AUCAUUCUUUCUGGAUUUUUUGACCUUCCAUAUGAAAUUCUUUCAACAUAAUCAGAGGCUGCAGAUUUGGAAAAUAGGGUUUGGAAAAUACACGAAGGCGGCGGAUUUUGUAGAACGAGAUUGUUGUUGGGAAUUUUUGCGUGGCGAUUUCUCCGAUGACGGUGGAAUCUUCGCCGCCCGAUGAGGAGAUUUAAUCCAAGAAGAGUGAGGAGAAAAUCAAGUGGUACCCGGUGUGGCUGAUGUACGAUCUGGAUAAAAGGAGGCCACACGCGAUUGGCUCACUUGAAGGAAUGGAGAAUCGAUCUGCAGGGUAGGCUACAAGAUGUGUACCACGGUUGGUCAUUUGGUGGCUCUGGCGACUACAAAUUCAAUAAUUCUAGGUGGGAGUAGGAGCAAGAGCAGGUGCUGUAUGCUUAGGAUAGAGCGUUGCUAAAUGCGAUUGGUAAUUUGGAGCUCAAUGGUGAAAAUGCAGAGGCUUUGCAAAAGCUUGGUCAUACUUUGGAAGUUGUAGCUAUUUAGGUUAGCAUGUGGAAUGAAUACUUUGACCUGUAGUUUGAUGUGAUUAUUGCAACUUGUCUUUUUUUUUUUUUAACAUUUUGAUUAUUUUCUAUUCUUGAAAGUGUGAGCACAUCUUAAAGUUCAGGUAAUAGUUUUGAUUCUAACUGUUUGUUCAUUAAAAAUAUAUAAUCAGUUCAUCAAGUUUGCGAAAUUCUUGUGUAGGGAAAUGAUCAAAAUGAUGAAGUGUGUGGUCAACCGAUGGGUGAUGAUGAUGUUACUCAUUCAGAUAAGAUCCACAUAUGCUAUUUUGAAAAACGAGGAGUUGUUCAAUAGAUUUGUGAUUUUGUUCCUAAAAAAUUAUUUUACUAACUUAUUUCUUUUUUAAAUCAUUAAUGUUCAAAACAUUGUAUCAUAAGUUCAAAACAAUGUACCGUAUGUUCAAAACAUCAAAUGGGACGGAAAUCAAUUUGGUUGUGACAUUGAAAAGGAAGCGUCGGUGCAUUACAACGAUGUUUACAUAAAUUAGGGUGAUCGAGCACUGAUCAGAAACAUUGUUCACGGGAAAGUGACCGAGAAGUCAGACUUAUUUGUUUAUUAGUAGUUUUUUUUUUUAAGAAUUGUCAUUUAUUUUUAUAAUAAACAAGUUAAUUGAUUGCUAUUUUUUCAAGUAUAUAUUGUUUUUGUUAUAAUGAAUUGGAAUUUGGUAUUAUUGUCAA